CCCUUAGAUGUUCUGGGCCGCACACGCGCUACACUGAAGGAGGCAGCGUGUACUCAUGGAUCGAAAGAUUUGGGUAACCCGCGAAUCUCCUUCGUGCUAGGGAUUGAGGUUUGCAAUUAUCCUUCAUGAACGAGGAAUUCCCAGUAAGUGCAAGUCAUAAGCUUGCGCUGACUACGUCCCUGCCCUUUGUACACACCGCCCGUCGCUACUACCGAUUGAAUGAUUUAGUGAGGACUUCGGACUGGGACCGAUGCGGCUUUCGGGCUGCGUCGGUAUUCUGGAAAGAUGUCCAAACUGUAUCAUUUAGAGGAAGUAAAAGUCGUAACA
RNAcentral lists this ribosomal RNA (327 nucleotides) under uncultured eukaryote. Its description in RNAcentral is "partial 18S ribosomal RNA". It matches the Rfam family "Eukaryotic small subunit ribosomal RNA", at positions 1470 to 1796 of the family's 1831-position model. The record is from RNAcentral.